Molecule: long non-coding RNA, 396 nt
Organism: Hemicordylus capensis (graceful crag lizard)
Lineage: Eukaryota; Metazoa; Chordata; Lepidosauria; Squamata; Cordylidae
Exons: 2
Source: RefSeq, a predicted model, not a curated record
AGCAACCAGACUGCAGUGCCAGAAUUCGGAUUUAACAGAACCAGGGGUCCAGGCGGCAGACCUUACUACAAACCUAAGUGCUGUGGUGGAGGAAGAAGCUAUACAAGGGUUGCUCCAAAAGCCACUGAGGAAGAUCAGGAGGAUCGAAACACGUAUGGCUGGCAUAAAGGAACUACUUUGAUUGCUUACUCUCCAGAGGAAUUCCAAUAAGAAGAGCAUAGACUUUUGGCUAGCUCCAAUAUAAACAACUGCAGUGCACUUGUUUACGUACAUGUUGUAGGAAUUGCAGUAUUAUUAUUUUAUGGAAUUUUAUUUGAUUCAUGUUUUUCCAUUGUGAUUUUACACAUUUGCAACUUACAUAGUGAAAAUAAAAUUGUGGUUUCUAUGUUUACAACA